CUUAAGCCAGAGACCCCGAAAUCAGACGAGCUACCUUAGAACAGCCUACCACAGGGCCAACUCAUCUAUGUGGCAAAAUAGUGAGAAGAUUUUAAGGUAGAGGUGAAAAGCCUAACGAGCCUGAUGAUAGCUGGUUGUCCAAGAAAGAAUCUUAGUUCACCUUAAAACUUACCUGCAUUUCCAAAAUAAAAUUACUGUAAGUUUUAAAGCUAACCUAAAGAGGUACAGCUCUUUAGAUAGAGGAUACAACCUAAAGUAAAGAGUAAUUGAUACAAUAUUCAUAGUAGGCCUAAAAGCAGCCAUCAAUUAAGAAAGCGUUAAAGCUCAACACUAUUAUAUAAUUUAUUCCAAUAAUAUAUUACAUCUCUUACAAAAUAACUGGACCAAUCUAUGA
Molecule: non-coding RNA, 394 nt
Organism: Dipodomys ordii (Ord's kangaroo rat)
Lineage: Eukaryota; Metazoa; Chordata; Mammalia; Rodentia; Heteromyidae
Source: Rfam